This 833-nucleotide long non-coding RNA is filed under the name Macaca mulatta (Rhesus monkey). Its description in RNAcentral is "lncRNA (ENSMMUG00000040490.2)". The record is from RNAcentral. Lineage: Eukaryota; Metazoa; Chordata; Mammalia; Primates; Cercopithecidae.
CUUCAAUUAAGGUUAUAUGUAGUUAAAGGAAUUUUUCUCUUCAGUCUAUAUACCCAUCCUGAAUGUCCUUGCCUGUUAGUUCCUUGCAGGUGAAAGGUAAAAAAUCUUUGCAAAUUCAUGCUAUAAUUGUGCCUUUGAAUUUUCAGAGGAAAAGACAGUGAGAGAGCAAGAGCAGAUUGAGAAGCAGAAGACUGAGUCACAAAAAGAGAAAAGGACAGAAAUGGAGCACCCUGGUAUCAUAAAAUAAGCUUGAACUUGGGUUAAUUCCUCUUGGACUGAAUCGUAGCAACAUAAACCAAACUUUUCAAAAAGAUUGGAUGCAAAACUUUUACGGAAACAGGAAUUUUUAUCAACAUGAAGCAGGAUUUAAUGCAGGAAAAGAGAAUACAACCUGGAGGCUGUGCCUGUUGCUUCUACUCUCAUCCAUUGGCUGAACUUAGUAUCUGACCACACAUAGCUGCAAGGGGAGGCUAAGAACUGCAGUCUUUAUUUUAGAUGACUCAGCGCCUCACUGAAAAUUGAGGAUUUCGUUGUUCUAGAAGAGGUGAGUAGUUAUUACAGUUUAACUAGCAUUAUCCACACAGUGCUCACAAUUCUUUUAGAGGUCUACAAAGAGGCUUUAAUUUUAAUUUUUCUUAAAAUCAGAAGAAAAGGAAUAUGAUCAUAAUGGAUAUAUAAUAAUGAAUCCAGCCUGGAUUUCAUUUGCUUUUAUUCUAAUGCGGUCAUGAAAUAAAAUUUCUAAUGCUUUCUUGUAGAGGAGAAAGACCACAAAGGGAAAAUCCUAGGGCCACAAAGUCAUGAUGUGGCCCAAACCAUAGAGAUGUUAAUAAAAC